Oncorhynchus tshawytscha (Chinook salmon) is the source of this 1024-nucleotide long non-coding RNA. NCBI's taxonomy places the organism in Eukaryota, Metazoa, Chordata, Actinopteri, Salmoniformes, Salmonidae. The record is from Ensembl.
CCCUUAACCUCGGACCCCCCUGCAGCCCACCACAUCGAAAACCUGUAAAAAGAAAAUGUUAUUCUAUUUUAUAUUUUUCCAAUGGGAAUAAUAUAAAAAAUAUAUAUAUAAAAAGAAGUUACCAUAUGUGUAGAAUAUAUUUAAUAUGAAUGUUAUAUUGAACAAGUUGAGGCCUAUAGAUCCAGUAUGUUGAUACAGUAUCUUAGUGUCUGUGUGUACACCAUGGGUUAGCUAGCUAGCUUUCUAGACAGUGGUUCAAACCGUUACCUUGGUGACAGGGUCUGCGUCCCGCCCCCUCCCUCCGAUUGGCUCCCGUUUUCCAUAUAUAGUGCACUACUUUCAACCGUGGCCCAUAGAACCUGUGAUAGGCUAGCGUCCUGUCCAGGGGGUUGUACAUCAAGCUACCUCACGCUCCUGUCUUAUGGGCUUUUCUAGCUCAGACAAGGCUACUUACUGACAUAGGGGCCGGGGUCCAAAGUAGUGCACUAUUUAGGGGAAAUAAGGUGCCAAUUUAGGACGCAGACAACGUAUUGUAUUUCAAGCAGCAGAACAGAACCAUCCUCCUAAUCAUUGACGUACAGAAUUAUUGUAAACAUGUUAUACUUCUCAUUUUAUCUUAUUUUUUAUUUUCAAAUGUUCAUAGUUUAAUAUAAUCUUUAUUUUUAUUUUUAUUUUUUUGCUUUCUUGCAGCACUAGGUCUUAAAGGAUGCGUCCCAAAUUGUAUCAUAUUUCCCUGCAUAGUGCACAACCCAUAUGGCUCUGGUCAAAAGUAGUGCACUUUGUAGGUGAAUAGGAUGCAAUUUGGGACGUAGUCCAAAGAGUAUAGUUUCUCAGCGAUCAGAGUUUCAAGCUUGUACAGUGAUAAUAUUAAAAAUCAGUUUUCAAACCGAUUGUAAAUAAUAGUAAUCUAAAUGCUUCUUCUCUCUUUACCCCUCUUCUAUACUUCACAUGGAAUACAUACAUCUUUCAAACAAAUAAAGAUGAUUGAAAGUGCAUUUGGUUUGAUUGAUUGAUUGAUUUUAAU